RNAcentral lists this long non-coding RNA (273 nucleotides) under Elaeis guineensis (African oil palm). RNAcentral's name for it is "long non-coding RNA (EGUI_LNC061148)". The record is from RNAcentral. Lineage: Eukaryota; Viridiplantae; Streptophyta; Magnoliopsida; Arecales; Arecaceae.
GGGUCAGGAACAUCCAGAACAUCAGAGUUCUUCUUCGAUACAAACCUAAUUUGCAUGUUCCACAAUCAAUCCACAUAAUUUGGAUUGGUCAACAUAUUUUUAUUUAUGGUAUUAUGCAGUGAAAAUAGAAAAGCCAUAAUACAGACUUAAAUCUAUAUAAAUAAAGAAUAAUAACAUAAGUAGACCACUUAUGUUUGACAUGCAUAACUAGAUGAGAUUUUUUAACUAGUUAUGUCUCUCACUAUUUUAUCGGAUACCAUGGCCCUCUCCUAU